RNAcentral lists this unclassified non-coding RNA (345 nucleotides) under soil metagenome. RNAcentral describes it as "partial contains 5.8S ribosomal RNA, internal transcribed spacer 2, and large subunit ribosomal RNA". The stretch from base 1 to 120 matches the Rfam family "5.8S ribosomal RNA", at positions 35 to 154 of the family's 154-position model. The record is from RNAcentral.
GAUGAAGAACGCAGCAAAAUGCGAUAAGUAAUGUGAAUUGCAGAAUUCAGUGAAUCAUCGAAUCUUUGAACGCACAUUGCGCCCGCCAGUAUUCUGGCGGGCAUGCCUGUUCGAGCGUCAUUUCAACCCUCAAGCCCUCGGGUUUGGUGUUGGGGAUCGGCGAGCCUUUCUGGCAAGCCGGCCCCGAAAUCUAGUGGCGGUCUCGCUGCAGCCUCCAUUGCGUAGUAGUAAAACCCUCGCAACUGGAACGCGGCGCGGCCAAGCCGUUAAACCCCCAACUUCUGAAUGUUGACCUCGGAUCAGGUAGGAAUACCCGCUGAACUUAAGCAUAUAAUAAGCGGAGGA